Molecule: ribosomal RNA, 393 nt
Filed under: uncultured bacterium
Lineage: Bacteria
Description: partial 16S ribosomal RNA
Rfam family: Bacterial small subunit ribosomal RNA
Source: RNAcentral
AUACGGAGGAUCCGAGCGUUAUCCGGAUUUAUUGGGUUUAAAGGGAGCGUAGGCGGACUAUUAAGUCAGCUGUGAAAGUUUGCGGCUCAACCGUAAAGUUGCAGUUGAUACUGGUCGUCUUGAGUGCAGUAGAGGUAGGAGGAAUUCUGGGGGUACGGGGGAAAUGCUUAGAUAUCACGAAGAACUCCGAUUGCGAAGGCAGCUUACUGGACUGUAACUGACGCUGAUGCUCGAAAGUGUGGGUAUCAAACAGGAUUAGAUACCCUGGUAGUCCACACAGUAAACGAUGAAUACUCGCUGUUUGCGAUAUACGGCAAGCGGCCAAGCGAAAGCAUUAAGUAUUCCACCUGGGGAGUACGCCGGCAACGGUGAAACUCAAAUGAAUGGACGGGG